AGAGUUGGCCGGGCAGUCGCUGUGGUGGUGCGCAAGCAUUGCUAUGGAGGAAAGUCCGGGCUCCACAGGGUAGAGUGCCAGGUAACGCCUGGGAGGCGCGAGCCUACGGAAAGUGCAGCAGAAAGCAAACCGCCUAAGCGCGCAAGCGCCGGUAAGGGUGAAAAGGUGCGGUAAGAGCGCACCG
Molecule: RNase P RNA, 184 nt
Filed under: Pseudomonas sp.
Lineage: Bacteria; Pseudomonadati; Pseudomonadota; Gammaproteobacteria; Pseudomonadales; Pseudomonadaceae
Description: partial RNase P RNA component class A
Rfam family: Bacterial RNase P class A
About the family: Ribonuclease P (RNase P) is a ubiquitous endoribonuclease, found in archaea, bacteria and eukarya as well as chloroplasts and mitochondria. Its best characterised activity is the generation of mature 5'-ends of tRNAs by cleaving the 5'-leader elements of precursor-tRNAs.
Source: RNAcentral